RNAcentral lists this small nuclear RNA (19 nucleotides) under Arabidopsis thaliana (thale cress). RNAcentral describes it as "snRNA_01736". The record is from RNAcentral. Lineage: Eukaryota; Viridiplantae; Streptophyta; Magnoliopsida; Brassicales; Brassicaceae.
ACAGCCUGCCCACCCUGGA